ACGAACGCUGGCGGCGUGCUUAACACAUGCAAGUCGAACGGUGAAGCAGAGCUUGCUCUGUGGAUCAGUGGCGAACGGGUGAGUAACACGUGAGCAAUCUGCCCCUGACUCUGGGAUAAGCGCUGGAAACGGCGUCUAAUACCGGAUACGAGCUGCGACCGCAUGGUCAGUAGCUGGAAAGAGAUUUCGGUCAGGGAUGAGCUCGCGGCCUAUCAGCUUGUUGGUGAGGUAAUGGCUCACCAAGGCGUCGACGGGUAGCCGGCCUGAGAGGGUGACCG
This 278-nucleotide ribosomal RNA is filed under the name uncultured Microbacterium sp. Its description in RNAcentral is "partial 16S ribosomal RNA". It matches the Rfam family "Bacterial small subunit ribosomal RNA", at positions 29 to 306 of the family's 1533-position model. The record is from RNAcentral. Lineage: Bacteria; Bacillati; Actinomycetota; Actinomycetes; Micrococcales; Microbacteriaceae.